UCAGGAUGAACGCUAGCUACAGGCUAACACAUGCAAGUCGAGGGGCAGCAUGUUGGUUGCUGCAACCAAUGAUGGCGACCGGCGCACGGGUGAGUAACGCGUAUCCAACCUUCCCUAUAGUAGAGGAUAGCCCGGCGAAAGUCGGAUUAAUACUCUAUGUUUUCCAAUGCAGACAUCUAAAAUGGAACAAAGGUUUACCGCUAUAGGAUGGGGAUGCGUCUGAUUAGAUAGUCGGCGGGGUAACGGCCCACCGAGUCGACGAUCAGUAGGGGUUCUGAGAGGAAGGUCCCCCACAUUGGAACUGAGACACGGUCCAAACUCCUACGGGAGGCAGCAGUGAGGAAUAUUGGUCAAUGGGCGAGAGCCUGAACCAGCCAAGUAAGCGUGCAGGAUGACGGCCCUAUGGGUUGUAAACUGCUUUUAUACAGGGAUAAAGUGACGUACGUGUACGUUUUUGUAGGUACUGUAUGAAUAAGGACCGGCUAAUUCCGUGCCAGCCGCCGC
This 504-nucleotide ribosomal RNA is filed under the name uncultured bacterium. Its description in RNAcentral is "bacterial SSU rRNA". It matches the Rfam family "Bacterial small subunit ribosomal RNA", at positions 24 to 518 of the family's 1533-position model. The record is from RNAcentral.